RNAcentral lists this unclassified non-coding RNA (240 nucleotides) under soil metagenome. RNAcentral describes it as "partial contains 5.8S ribosomal RNA, internal transcribed spacer 2, and large subunit ribosomal RNA". The record is from RNAcentral.
AACCAUAGAAACCUGCGGAGUACCUGCGGAGGGAUCAUUACAGAGUUGCAAAACUCCCACAAACCAUCGCGAAUCUUACCCGUACGGUUGCCUCGGCGCUGGCGGUCCGGAAGGCCCUCGGGCCCCCGGACCCUCGGGUCCCCCGCUCGCGGGGGGCUGCCCGCCGGAGUGCCGAAACCAAACUCUUGAUAUUUUAUGUCUCUCUGAGUAAACUUUUAAAUAAGUCAAAACUUUCAACAA